RNAcentral lists this long non-coding RNA (568 nucleotides) under Pan troglodytes (chimpanzee). RNAcentral's name for it is "lincRNA". Lineage: Eukaryota; Metazoa; Chordata; Mammalia; Primates; Hominidae. The record is from RNAcentral.
AGGGGUACAGUCCAGCCAGGUGGGUCCCGACACCGCGCCGAGAACCACAUCCAGACCACAGCUGAGCACCCAACAGCUCACUGAUUGGAUCCAGGGAGGGGAGAAACUGGCUGGAGCCCUCCAGGGUGCAGCUGGGAGGAGGAAGUACAUCAAUUACUUAAUUAUCCAAAGCAGGUGGGGAGUAAAGACCCCACCCGGAGAGCAACGAAGACUCUAAAGGGAGGCGCCACACCCUCGGGCGGCAGAGGGUCACGUGAGAGCAAGGGGGUUCAAUGGCAGAGCCAAAUUUAAAACAGGUUUCAGGGAGUAUAGGAGGAGGCUUUUGGGAUAUUAACAAUGUGAACCUCAAUUUUUAUCAGGGUUGGGUAGGCAAAAAGGCGGCUUCGCUGAGGACUGUUUACUGCUCUGGAUAUAGCAAUGGUGUGAUCGUCAUUAAGAGACAAAAGGGAAAAUACAGUCAAAUCAAACAAAAGGCAAAAGACGCACCAGCCGCCCAACCACCAUAGAAAAUACCCCCCACUUAACGUUGGUGUUUGCUGGAACCAGCUAGGACUUGUUUUCCAGUUUU